AUUGAACGCUGGCGGCAGGCCUAACACAUGCAAGUCGAGCGGAUGAAGGGAGCUUGCUCCUGGAUUCAGCGGCGGACGGGUGAGUAAUGCCUAGGAAUCUGCCUGGUAGUGGGGGAUAACGUCCGGAAACGGGCGCUAAUACCGCAUACGUCCUGAGGGUGAAAGUGGGGGAUCUUCGGAGCUAACGCUAUCAGAUGAGCCUAGGUCGGAUUAGCUAGUUGGUGGGGUAAAGGCCUACCAAGGCGACGAUCCGUAACUGGUCUGAGAGGAUGAUCAGUCACACUGGAACUGAGACACGGUCCAGACUCCUACGGGAGGCAGCAGUGGGGAAUAUUGGACAAUGGGCGAAAGCCUGAUCCAGCCAUGCCGCGUGUGUGAAGAAGGUCUUCGGAUUGUAAAGCACUUUAAGUUGGGAGGAAGGGCAGUAAGUUAAUACCUUGCUGUUUUGACGUUACCAACAGAAUAAGCACCGGCUAACUUCGUG
This 484-nucleotide ribosomal RNA is filed under the name uncultured bacterium. RNAcentral describes it as "partial 16S ribosomal RNA". It matches the Rfam family "Bacterial small subunit ribosomal RNA", at positions 30 to 507 of the family's 1533-position model. The record is from RNAcentral.